RNAcentral lists this ribosomal RNA (587 nucleotides) under uncultured bacterium. Its description in RNAcentral is "bacterial SSU rRNA". The stretch from base 1 to 515 matches the Rfam family "Bacterial small subunit ribosomal RNA", at positions 338 to 873 of the family's 1533-position model. The record is from RNAcentral.
CCUACGGGAGGCAGCAGUGGGGAAUAUUGGACAAUGGGCGCAAGCCUGAUCCAGCAAUGCCGCGUGAGUGAUGAAGGCCUUAGGGUCGUAAAGCUCUUUUACCAGGGAUGAUAAUGACAGUACCUGGAGAAUAAGCUCCGGCUAACUCCGUGCCAGCAGCCGCGGUAAUACGGAGGGAGCUAGCGUUGUUCGGAAUUACUGGGCGUAAAGCGUACGUAGGCGGUUAUUCAAGUCAGAGGUGAAAGCCCGGGGCUCAACCCCGGAACGGCCUUUGAAACUAGGUAGCUAGAAUCUUGGAGAGGUCAGUGGAAUUCCGAGUGUAGAGGUGAAAUUCGUAGAUAUUCGGAAGAACACCAGUGGCGAAGGCGACUGACUGGACAAGUAUUGACGCUGAGGUACGAAAGCGUGGGGAGCAAACAGGAUUAGAUACCCUGGUAGUCCACGCCGUAAACGAUGAUAACUAGCUGUCCGGGCACUUGGUGCCUGGGUGCGCNGCUACGCAUAAGUUAUACGUCCGUGGAGCGCGUCGCGAGAGUAAACUACGAAGAAGUAGUAAGNGUGAGAGUGCGAGCGACGACGAGGAGAGG